Molecule: long non-coding RNA, 1473 nt
Organism: Schistocerca piceifrons (Central American locust)
Lineage: Eukaryota; Metazoa; Arthropoda; Insecta; Orthoptera; Acrididae
Exons: 3
Source: RefSeq, a predicted model, not a curated record
UCGUGAACGGGUCGUUUAAGAAAAGCUCAUCCUAUUGAAAACAUAUUUUUGAUGAUGAUGAUGUGAGUGAGGAUGAGAUUGAAUGAUUUAUGACGAGAAUUUCAUACUCGUUGUCAAGAUUUUGCAGUAAAUGCUAUAAAUGUAGAACUGCAUUGUAGCGUUGAAUUCUCCUUACUUGGUUUCACUUUGAUUAAUUUUUGUAUGGCUCAGAUAGCGUUUAAGCGAUCUGAGUCCGUUAGUUUUAUGAAAAGCACGGCGUGUAGUGUUGGGUUAAACACCAAUUUUCUGUUAUUCUAAAGUGCCAGCUAACUUGCUAAGCAUGAAGCGUGAGGGCCGUAUUAUAUGUAAAAGAUGUCUGUCAACGAUUUCUUUGACCAAACAAUGGUAAAAUUUUUCGUGGCAGUUGUUCGGGAGCAGCUAAUGUUGAACAAGACUUCAGCUACAGCGAAAUACGCAAUGUGACGAAGUUCACAGAAGUUACCACAUCCAAAUCCAAUUGAAGGCGAGAGUAUUACCUUCUGAGACGAAAUUUUUGGAAGGCAGAAGGAUCUGUGUUUGUUAUUGUUUUCGUUUGCUGCAUUGAACUGUUGUAGUGACUCAGCAAUAAACUUUGUGCUAUUUUGAGUUUUAAGAGACGAAAAGCAAGAUGCAAAAUAGUUGGAGAGAAAACAGGAGACGUAAUAUACAUUAACAUUCUUUGAGGCAAAUAAGUUGAUCGGUUAAAAUGAUUGUGGUUAGAAUAUCAUAUUUUUCUGUAGAAUAUAAAGUAUGCGAUUUAUUUAAGUAAGUGUUGUACUGAUAAACGUUAUAAACUGCAGAUUUAGUUUCGUAGGUGUGUGCAUAUGAAAGGGUACACAGCUGUGUUGUAUGCAACUCAAUACUGUUGUAAUGUUUCUUGAAAGUUAACUCCCCUUUAAACAAGUUGAGUUGUUAGGUGAUGCAGUUGUUGAACUUUAUUUUUAGUCACUAAAGUAAAUAACGACAAAAGUCGCGAAAAACAGGAAGAGACAUGCAGCAAAACUGAAGAUACUGUGGGAAAUUUGCAUUUGCAAAACAAGAUACGGAAAUAGCAGGUAUAAUGAGUGAUGUCAUGGUCACCAUAUUGUAUAUCCUUGAAAUAGUGUACACCACGUUGAUGGCAUUACUGGUCAAAACAGAACAACAUCGCAAAUCCAGUACCACACAAGAACAGCUACAGGAUUGCACAACCAAAUGUUCUCUGCCAUCUCCCUAUGUUUUCUGGGAUGGUUACUAGGGAUAGGCCAUGGCCAGUACCCAAGAUUAUUACUUUUAUUUUACCAUCUGUGCCAAAUUAAUGUGUUUGGUAAUAUAUUAAUGUAAUGGGACUGUCAAUAGUAGUAUCAUAGAUAAAAUUUAAGAAAAUGAAAUGGCUUACAUUCCACAGUGAAAUCCACUGUCAUAAAAUGUUUAUUGAAGUGGAUGACACUUGUAUCUCAUGUGUUGGAGUUAGUG